AGAGUUUGAUCAUGGCUCAGGAUGAAUGCUGGCGGCGUGCUUAACACAUGCAAGUCGAGCGGCAGCGCGGAGAGUUUACUCUCUGGCGGCGAGCGGCGGACGGCUGAGUAACGCGUGGGAACAUGCCCCAAAGUGAGGAAUAAGCUCCAGAAAUGGAGUCUAAUGCCGCAUAUGAUCUUCGGAUUAAAGGAUUUAUCCGCUUUGGGAGUGGCCUGCGUACGAUUAGAUAGUUGGUGAGGUAAUGGCUUACCAAGUCUACGAUCGUUAGCUGGUCUGAGAGGAUGACCAGCCAGACUGGAACUGAGACACGGUCCAGACUCCUACGGGAGGCAGCAGUGAGGAAUCUUCCACAAUGGGGGCAACCCUGAUGGAGCAACGCCGCGUGCAGGAUGAAGGCCUUCGGGUCGUAAACUGCUUUUAUAAGUGAAGAAUAUGACGGUAACUUAUGAAUAAGCACCGGCUAACUACGUGCCAGCAGCCGCGGUCAUACGUAGGGUGCAAGCAUUAUCCGGAGUGACUGGGCGUAAAGAGUUGCGUAGGUGGUCUGUAAAGCGAAUAGUGAAAUCUGGGGGCUCAACCUCACAGACUAUUAUUCGAACUCACAGACUCGAGAGUGGUAGAGGUAACUGGAAUUUCUAGUGUAGGAGUGAAAUCCGUAGAUAUUAGAAGGAACACCAAUGGCGUAGGCAGGUUACUGGACCAUUUCUGACACUGAGGCACGAAAGCGUGGGGAGCGAACCGGAUUAGAUACCCUAGUAGUCC
Molecule: ribosomal RNA, 762 nt
Filed under: uncultured bacterium
Lineage: Bacteria
Description: bacterial SSU rRNA
Rfam family: Bacterial small subunit ribosomal RNA
Source: RNAcentral